UACGAAGGGAGCUAGCGUUGCUCGGAAUGACUGGGCGUAAAGGGCGCGUAGGCGGUUUGUACAGUCAGAUGUGAAAUUCCUGGGCUCAACCUGGGGGCUGCAUUUGAUACGUGCGGACUUGAGUGAGGAAGAGGGUCGUGGAAUUCCCAGUGUAGAGGUGAAAUUCGUAGAUAUUGGGAAGAACACCGGUGGCGAAGGCGGCGACCUGGUCCUUGACUGACGCUGAGGCGCGAAAGCGUGGGGGAGCAAACAGG
Molecule: ribosomal RNA, 254 nt
Filed under: uncultured bacterium
Lineage: Bacteria
Description: partial 16S ribosomal RNA
Rfam family: Bacterial small subunit ribosomal RNA
Source: RNAcentral